RNAcentral lists this ribosomal RNA (332 nucleotides) under uncultured Oxalobacteraceae bacterium. RNAcentral describes it as "bacterial SSU rRNA". It matches the Rfam family "Bacterial small subunit ribosomal RNA", at positions 8 to 342 of the family's 1533-position model. Lineage: Bacteria; Pseudomonadati; Pseudomonadota; Betaproteobacteria; Burkholderiales; Oxalobacteraceae. The record is from RNAcentral.
AGAGUUUGAUCCUGGCUCAGAUUGAACGCUGGCGGCAUGCCUUACACAUGCAAGUCGAACGGCAGCGCGGGAGCAAUCCUGGCGGCGAGUGGCGAACGGGUGAGUAAUAUAUCGGAACGUGCCUUAGAGUGGGGGAUAACUAGUCGAAAGACUAGCUAAUACCGCAUACGACCUACGGGUGAAAGUGGGGGAUCGCAAGACCUCAUGCUCUUAGAGCGGCCGAUAUCUGAUUAGCUAGUUGGUGGGGUAAAAGCCUACCAAGGCGACGAUCAGUAGCUGGUCUGAGAGGACGACCAGCCACACUGGGACUGAGACACGGCCCAGACUCCUAC